UGUAACGGCCCGCGGAAUCUUGAGUGUGGAAAUAUAUUUAUCGAAGCAACGGGAUUCAGGUUGUAAAUUUCAAAUAUGGUCACGAAGCAGUCAAUGGGACAACCAUCCGAGAAUCUAUUCGGUAACCUGAAAAGAUCUAACGAUGAAUUCUGUACACGUUUCGCGGUGUUUCUCCCAGAGGAAGGAAUUCAAGGUUUCCGUGGGUCAGAUGUUAUUCUGCAUCGGAUACUGCAAUAGUCGCAAACUGCUCCGAUAACACAGGCACCGGCUGGUAAUAUCCUGGAGUUCACCUAUGGCCUGUACUCGUCCACGCCAGCCUCGGAACCCUUUUACUGAAAGCGGUAAAAGUGACGGCGUCCUUGGAUCCCGAUACGCUCGUUGCAGAGAGCCUCGAAAAGAAGACACGGAGGAUUCGUGGAACGUCGCUGGAACACGGCCUCUCUUGUGUACAUUGAACAAUGGUCACGAAGCUGAAAACCGUGGAGACCUACACUUUGACAAGACAUGUUUACUCCAUGAAUGAAUAGUGUGACAGACCGGGUUGUUAGAAAUAUUUUGAAUAACAGGAUGAUUCCGAAUGACAUGUAUCGUAUGAUACAUGUUAUAGGUCACAGCCGUAUACAUUAUAGGACAUAGAACACAUAUAUUCAUAGUGAUUAGAAAAUGUUCGAGAACUUUGAAGCGUGGAAAUCAUAUGUCACGAACCAUUUCAUACACCAUGUACCGAUGUACGACCAGGAAGAGACAUGAGCUCGAUGCUAUGACGGAUUUAGUGACCAUGGUUUCAGCCAAGUAUCCUCUACUCUACUUGGAUCAAGUCAUUAAACUCUGCAACCUUUCAACUCCUUUUUCCAGCUGAUAUAAACCGCGGUGAGUACAACGUGGCUUACCGUUAUGUUUUUCAUCCUCCUGAAAACAAUUCUGGGAAAAUUUGCCGAUGUUGCUGCCAGAACUUCAAAACUUUCUGUACCAGUGGUGCAUCGUGAAGAAUCGGGGGUGCGCAAGCAGGAAAGGAAGUCAUUGUCGGAGAGCCAGUAAGAGAAAGAAAGACAGAGAGAAAGGGGUGAAAGAGGGAAAAGGUAGGAAGCAGAACACCCAUAGGACAGCUGAGAGCCUGGGACGAAGGUUGGAGAGGGUGGAAUGAUAGGGUGGAGUGGGGUGAGUACACUCGGAUGCAACGUUCAUUUCCUUCGGACAG
RNAcentral lists this long non-coding RNA (1198 nucleotides) under Megachile rotundata (alfalfa leafcutting bee). RNAcentral describes it as "uncharacterized LOC105662689, transcript variant X1". The record is from RNAcentral. Lineage: Eukaryota; Metazoa; Arthropoda; Insecta; Hymenoptera; Megachilidae.